UUUUUUUUUUUUUUUUUUUAAUUAGCCAAAUAGUAAGGCACUUCAAGGUACGGUACUGGUUUUCUCUACAGAGAGUGCUGAGAAAACUUCAGGGUAAAUUAUUCAAGAUAUUGACUAGGGAUGAGACAGCAGACUAGAAGAAGUUCUGUUUUGUAAAAACUGUCACCAUAUAUUGAUUAUUCUUAUUACUUAAUAAAACCACAUUUAAAGACUUGUUCAUAUGACUAGAUCCUCUAGUUGGCAUCUACACACAACCUGGCGAAAAAACUACCACCAUAUAGCUGCUAAUUUGAGCUUCCAAAUUGAAGGUUUCAAUGUUCAGUUAAGAUGCAAUUAGUUGAAAAUGAGGCAUUAUGUACCAAAAUCCCUGUGUCAGCUUUGAAACUUAAGCUUAUGAUGAAGUAAGACAUUCCCAAAUUGAAGUUAUGACUGCAUUCUCUUUUCCUCUCUAUGCCAAACAUGUGUUCAUAAUCCUUUCUACUUAUUAUUUCUUUACACAAAAUAGCAAAUUAGGUCCGUAUGAGACUUUUGGAUAAAUAAAACCAGAUCAUAACUGAUUUGGCCCUCCGCCUAUUUUGAUAUCUGCCAGUUUAAGCAGUGUGACCCUAAAAAUAAGGGUCAAGCUAAUUACAGUUGCUCAGAAAUCCAGAUUUUCCAGGUCUGAACCGGGUCCUGCCUGCCAGCUUGAAUUACUCGGUAUUCUUGAGUAUUUAAAACCCACUCUUAGGAAAAGGAUUUGAACUGAAAAACUCUAGUGGCAAACAGUAACUUCUUAGUUCUUGACUCCAUGCUACCACUUAAUCCCCAGCUUUCCUGUCUUACAGGGUAGUUGGACACAACCCAGAAGGUAAGAUUCAGCUAGAUUCUAGACAGGGUUUUUGGUGAGCUUGUGCCAUGGGAUAGGUGUCAUAUUUGGUCCCAAAGCUAUACUGGAGGUGGCAGAAUGUUUUUGCAUGUGACAGGAUGAAUCGGUGCAUCAGUGCUAGGAAUCAAGAAAAACUUCAGUGUAAGCUGCUCAGAGUAUCACUGCACUCCUACGGAAAUAAAGAUUUCAUCUGACACUGGCAAUAAAUGACAUCAUAUGAGAGCUGGAAAAGCAUAUGGAAAUAUAUGAAAGAUAAGAUUUUAAGGUUUAACUGACCUAUGAGUCAGUGGUGAGUUUCACACUUCAUCAUGGACUUGCUUUAUCAGCUUUGGCAUAACCCUUUGCCUUUAGUUUUUCUGGCUCCCUAUUUGUGAGAUAGAAUGAAUACCACACCAAGUGCGUGACUGAAUUAAGUUUUCUUUUAUAACCUAGCAAAGAGACACAGUACUCUUCUGGUUGGUAUUUGACUAAAGCUUGUAUUCUUUCAACCACAGUAGGUCAAGUUAAAUGAGAUCCACUUAUGUCCAUAGUGAUUAAAAAGGACAAUUGCUGCAUUAAUAUUAUUAAUCAUCAAGUCCACGAGCAAGCCUGUUCUGUUACUGGACAGUCAUUUCACUGCACUCUGAACUUUGUAUGUUACUUUGUACCUCAUCUCUCUGCCUGGGCACUCACUGAGACACAGAGACCCAUGGACCCUGCUGGUGCAUUAGAACAAAGAAAAAUACAAGAGCAGUUUUUGUUUUUGUUUUUGUUUUUUUUUUUUAAUCAAACCUUUAUAACCUAUUACAGCUAAAAAGCUAAUGAAAAUUUUGAGAAAGGAAUUGCUGUAUCUGUUUAAGUAUUUAAAAAUUAUUUUCUGUAGUUAAAUUCCUUGUUUUUAACUGUUAUCAAGGAAGGUAAGGAAGGUCUGUAGAUACAUUGGAAAAACUCUGGUGGUAGUAUUCCUUAUUUCUUAAUGAAGUUUUGUUUUGGUUUGCUAUUGUUUCUUCAUCUCCUAUCUGGUUAGAAUCCUUGAUCCAGUUUUAGAAUUUGAACUUUUAACUAUUUUUAUAUUCAGUAAACAAACACUGCAAAACCUCA
This 1945-nucleotide long non-coding RNA is filed under the name Taeniopygia guttata (zebra finch). RNAcentral describes it as "lncRNA (ENSTGUG00000020562.1)". Lineage: Eukaryota; Metazoa; Chordata; Aves; Passeriformes; Estrildidae. The record is from RNAcentral.